CGCGGGAUGGAGCAGCUUGGUAGCUCGUCGGGGGCUCAUAACCCGAAGGUCGUCGGUUCAAAUCCGGCUCCCGCAACCA
This 79-nucleotide transfer RNA is filed under the name Vibrio ouci. RNAcentral describes it as "Vibrio sp. BEI176 tRNA-OTHER". It matches the Rfam family "tRNA". From Rfam's summary of the family: Transfer RNA (tRNA) molecules are approximately 80 nucleotides in length. Their secondary structure includes four short double-helical elements and three loops (D, anti-codon, and T loops). Lineage: Bacteria; Pseudomonadati; Pseudomonadota; Gammaproteobacteria; Vibrionales; Vibrionaceae. The record is from RNAcentral.